GUUAGGAAUAUUGGACAAUGGGCGAAAGCCUGAUCCAGCCAUGCCGCGUGAACGAUGAAGGCCUUCGGGUUGUAAAGUUCUUUAGCCGAUGAUUAUAAUGACUGUAGUCGGAAAAUAAGCCCCGGCUAACUUCGUGCCAGCAGCCGCGGUAAUACGAAGGGGGCGAGCGUUAUUCGGAAUCACUGGGCGUAAAGCGUGCGUAGGCGGUUUUGUAAGUUAGGAGUGAAAGCCCAGGGCUCAACCUUGGAAUUGCUCUUAAAACUGCAAGGCUCGAAUCGCGGAGAGGAUAGCGGAAUUUCCAGUGUAGCAGUGAAAUGCGUAGAUAUUGGAAGGAACACCAGUGGCGUAAGCGGCUAUCUGGACGAGUAUUGACGCUGAGGCACGAAAGCGUGGGGAUCAAACAGGAUUAGAUACCCGGGUAGUCC
Molecule: ribosomal RNA, 425 nt
Filed under: uncultured bacterium
Lineage: Bacteria
Description: partial 16S ribosomal RNA
Rfam family: Bacterial small subunit ribosomal RNA
Source: RNAcentral